Molecule: ribosomal RNA, 1356 nt
Filed under: uncultured bacterium
Lineage: Bacteria
Description: 16S ribosomal RNA
Rfam family: Bacterial small subunit ribosomal RNA
Source: RNAcentral
GAUGAACGCUAGCUACAGGCUUAACACAUGCAAGUCGAGGGGCAGCAUGAACUUAGCUUGCUAAGUUUGAUGGCGACCGGCGCACGGGUGAGUAACACGUAUCCAACCUGCCGAUGACUCGGGGAUAGCCUUUCGAAAGAAAGAUUAAUACCCGAUGGCAUAGUUCUUCCGCAUGGUAGAACUAUUAAAGAAUUUCGGUCAUCGAUGGGGAUGCGUUCCAUUAGGUUGUUGGCGGGGUAACGGCCCACCAAGCCUUCGAUGGAUAGGGGUUCUGAGAGGAAGGUCCCCCACAUUGGAACUGAGACACGGUCCAAACUCCUACGGGAGGCAGCAGUGAGGAAUAUUGGUCAAUGGACGAGAGUCUGAACCAGCCAAGUAGCGUGAAGGACGACUGCCCUAUGGGUUGUAAACUUCUUUUAUACGGGAAUAAAGUGAGGCACGUGUGCCUUUUUGUAUGUACCGUAUGAAUAAGGAUCGGCUAACUCCGUGCCAGCAGCCGCGGUAAUACGGAGGAUCCGAGCGUUAUCCGGAUUUAUUGGGUUUAAAGGGAGCGUAGGCGGACGCUUAAGUCAGUUGUGAAAGUUUGCGGCUCAACCGUAAAAUUGCAGUUGAUACUGGGUGUCUUGAGUACAGUAGAGGCAGGCGGAAUUCGUGGUGUAGCGGUGAAAUGCUUAGAUAUCACGAAGAACUCCGAUUGCGAAGGCAGCCUGCUGGACUGUAACUGACGCUGAUGCUCGAAAGUGUGGGUAUCAAACAGGAUUAGAUACCCUGGUAGUCCACACAGUAAACGAUGAAUACUCGCUGUUUGCGAUAUACAGUAAGCGGCCAAGCGAAAGCGUUAAGUAUUCCACCUGGGGAGUACGCCGGCAACGGUGAAACUCAAAGGAAUUGACGGGGGCCCGCACAAGCGGAGGAACAUGUGGUUUAAUUCGAUGAUACGCGAGGAACCUUACCCGGGCUUGAAUUGCAACUGAAUGAUGUGGAGACAUGUCAGCCGCAAGGCAGUUGUGAAGGUGCUGCAUGGUUGUCGUCAGCUCGUGCCGUGAGGUGUCGGCUUAAGUGCCAUAACGAGCGCAACCCUUAUCGAUAGUUACCAUCAGGUGAUGCUGGGGACUCUGUCGAGACUGCCGUCGUAAGAUGUGAGGAAGGUGGGGAUGACGUCAAAUCAGCACGGCCCUUACGUCCGGGGCUACACACGUGUUACAAUGGGGGGUACAGAAGGCAGCUACACGGCGACGUGAUGCUAAUCCCGAAAGCCUCUCUCAGUUCGGAUUGGAGUCUGCAACCCGACUCCAUGAAGCUGGAUUCGCUAGUAAUCGCGCAUCAGCCACGGCGCGGUGAAUACGUUCCCGGGCC